Molecule: ribosomal RNA, 274 nt
Filed under: uncultured bacterium
Lineage: Bacteria
Description: partial 16S ribosomal RNA
Rfam family: Bacterial small subunit ribosomal RNA
Source: RNAcentral
AUACGGAGGGUGCAAGCGUUAUUCGGAAUCACUGGGCGUAAAGGACGCGUAGGCGGGUUGGCAAGUCAGAUGUGAAAUCCUACAGCUUAACUGUAGAACUGCAUUUGAAACUGCUAACCUAGAGUAUGGGAGGGGGAGAUGGAAUUAGUGGUGUAGGGGUAAAAUCCGUAGAUAUCACUAGGAAUACCAAAAGCGAAGGCAAUCUUCUGGAACACUACUGACGCUGAGGCGCGAAAGCGUGGGGAGCAAACGGGAUUAGAAACCCUAGUAGUCC